AGCUCCAAUAGCGUAUAUUAAAGUUGUUGCAGUUAAAAAGCUCGUAGUUGAAAAUCUGAUUGCUCAGGUCUUCAGCCUUUAGGCGGGGAUACUGACAGUCAUCCGCUUGCAAAUAUAAGUUCGAUCUUCACCGGUUGGCUAUAUGAGCAAGCAAUUUACCUUGAGAAAAAACAGUGUGUUCCAGGCAGGUUUGUCCGGAAUGCAUUAGCAUGGAAUAAUAGAAUAUGACUGAAGUCGAUUUAUUGGUUUGAGGCUUUAGUAAUGAUUAAUAGGAACAGUCGGGGGCAUUGGUACUUGACAGUCAGAGGUGAAAUUCUAGGAUUUGUCAAAGACUAACAAAUGCGAAAGCAUUUGCCAAGGAUGUUUUCAUUAAUCAAGAACGAAAGUUAGGGGAUCAAAGACGAUCAGAUACCGUCCUAGUCUUAACUAUAAACUAUACCGACUCGGAUUCAGAUGAAUCAUAACGUUCAUUUGGGACCGUCGGAGACAUCACAGUUUGUGGGUUCUGGGGGAAGUAU
Molecule: ribosomal RNA, 518 nt
Filed under: uncultured bacterium
Lineage: Bacteria
Description: SSU rRNA
Rfam family: Eukaryotic small subunit ribosomal RNA
Source: RNAcentral